UAUUGUAAAAGUCUAUUGGAAUAACUUGGAUAACUAGCAAACUGACUCAAAUUUGUUAUGAGAUAUUUGUUUGUAGUCUAUUGCAUCGGCAUCGGCUUGUUAGCACUAUUAGGUUAAUUCGCUUGUAAUUUAGGUAGAUCUGCAUUUAGGUAUCCAUUGCUUAAAUGCUUCUGUGGCAUAAAAGAGACAUUAAAAUUACUGUUCUUUAUAUAUAGGCAAGCACAACACAACAACUAUCCAUGGCCAUGGCCAUCAUGUGGCCUGCCAGACGGACCCAUCUGAGACAUGCACAGUUGACACACAUCUGUCUAUCCACACUUGAUAGACAAGAAUGUUGUUUUCCCUUUUCUCGGAAUGUUGUGCAGACUCCAUCUGACAGUCCUGCAUUUCAGUGAAAAUGCUGGCCAUCCCUAAACAACAUCUGCGGGUGAACCACUAUUUCAGGUUACGAUAAUGAGAUCGUGGACCUCAUCUUUCAAAUGGUUUUCCAAGAUCCAACCCCAUAUGUGGAAGAUGUGCUGUGGAUCCCAGUCCCUGAGGAUCAUUCUGCCCAGUUUCUCAAACCAGACAAGGAGGACGUUAUAUACAGCUACGGUGACUGUGUGUGUAUGUGGUCUACUGGGGGCAGUGCUGGUUGUUAAACAAUCUGACAGCAGCAGGAAGGAAGGACCUACGAUAUCUCUCCUUCACACAUUUGGGGUGAAGGAGUCUAUCGCUGAGGGAGCUGCUCAGUGCACUGAUGGUGUCCUGCAUGGGGUGAGAGACAUUGUCCAUUCGUGAUGAUAGCUUAGCAAUCAUCCUCCUCUCUCCUACCACCUGCACUGAGUCGAGGGGGCAACCCAGGACCGAGCUGGCCUUCUUGAUCAGUUUGUCGAGCCUCUUCCUGUCAGCGGUUGACAUGCUGCUGCUCCAGCAGACCACCCCAAAGAAAAUGGCUGAUGCCACAACAGUGUCAAAGAAGGUCCUCAGGAGUGCUCCCUACACUCCAAAGGACUUUCGUCGUCAGCAGAUAGAGCCUGCUCUGGCCAUUCUUGUAAGUCCAGUCCAGUUUAUUGUUCAGAUGAACACCCAGGUACUUAUAAGAGUCCACCCUCUCUAUGUCCAUUACCUGGAUGCUCACCAGUUUCGGGAGUGCGUGAAAAUCCACCAUCAGCUCCUUUGUUUUCCCUGUGUUGAUCUGGAGGCAGUUCCACUGACACCAGUCCAGUUUUUGGUCUUCUAGACCAGUUUGGUCUAGAAGUAGAUGUAAAUAAUUAUUUUAGCCACUUAGCUCUGUUCACUCCCGUUCAUUGAGGACUAUGUUCCGAGUGCCCCCCUAGGUGAACUGCAGCCAACUUUCAGUACAGUGGGUUUUAAUAGGAAGUGGACAGGCUGUCCUCAGAAAGGCUGUGGCCAUACUCGCGUUGGCACACCUCCUGGAAGAGAGGGGCAGGUGUGAAGUGGCUCAUUAGCAUUUAAAGCGAUAGGCACUCAAAACAGCUUGUUCUCAAAAGAGCUUUUUUAGAGGGGGUAAGAGGGAGGCUGUGAUGCUUCAUCUGUGUGGUAUUAUGACCAAAUAAUGUCACAGACAUUUCAUGAAAACCACAGGGAAUUGUAAUACAUUGUCAAAAAGGGGUAUAAUGUGUCUUCUUUAAAUUUUGUCUUUUUGGCAAUUAAUUUAC
This is a long non-coding RNA of Scatophagus argus, 1661 nucleotides long. RefSeq lists it as uncharacterized. Lineage: Eukaryota; Metazoa; Chordata; Actinopteri; Scatophagidae. The record is from RefSeq and is a predicted model, not a curated record. The transcript is spliced from 3 exons.